AAGUUUCACUCUCGUCACACAGGCUGGAGUGCAAUGGCAUGAUCUACACUCACUGCAACCUCUGACUCAUGGGUUCAAGUGAUUCUCCUACCUCAGCCUAUCAAGUAGUUGGGAUUACAGCUGUAUUCCAUUCACUCCAUCAGAUCUUCUGCCUUCCACUGCUCCCUGGUAGACCCACAGGACAAUGAUCUCUAUGAACUGCAUCAAGUGUUUCCCUUGCCCUGCAGUUUCUAGUUGAGCUUGGCUAAUGGAUAUCCCUGGCAGGAGAUCAGAGAUAGAGCCCUGCCUGUAGUGCACAGCAGAGAAGAGGAACUCCGUAAAGGAAACUGAGAAGGGGCAGGCAGACAGGAGACGGG
Molecule: long non-coding RNA, 356 nt
Organism: Symphalangus syndactylus (siamang)
Lineage: Eukaryota; Metazoa; Chordata; Mammalia; Primates; Hylobatidae
Source: RefSeq, a predicted model, not a curated record